AGUAACGCGUGGGUAACCUGCCUCAUACAGGGGGAUAACAGUUAGAAAUGACUGCUAAUACCGCAUAAGCGCACAGUGCUGCAUGGCACAGUGUGAAAAACUCCGGUGGUAUGAGAUGGACCCGCGUCUGAUUAGCUAGUUGGUGGGGUAACGGCCUACCAAGGCGACGAUCAGUAGCCGGCCUGAGAGGGUGAACGGCCACAUUGGGACUGAGACACGGCCCAA
RNAcentral lists this ribosomal RNA (225 nucleotides) under uncultured bacterium. Its description in RNAcentral is "partial 16S ribosomal RNA". It matches the Rfam family "Bacterial small subunit ribosomal RNA", at positions 109 to 334 of the family's 1533-position model. The record is from RNAcentral.